CCUACGGGUGGCAGCAGUGAGGAAUAUUGGUCAAUGGGCGGGAGCCUGAACCAGCCAAGUCGCGUGAGGGAAGACGGUCCUAUGGAUUGUAAACCUCUUUAGGCGGGGAGCAAUGCCGGGCACGCGUGUCCGGCUGUGAGAGUACCCGAAGAAAAAGCAUCGGCUAACUCCGUGCCAGCAGCCGCGGUAAUACGGAGGAUGCGAGCGUUAUCCGGAUUUAUUGGGUUUAAAGGGUGGGCAGGCGGAUUUUUAAGUCAGCGGUCAAAGCGUGGGGCUCAACCGCAUCCAGCCGUUGAAACUGGGGAUCUAGAGUGUGCGAGAGGUAUGCGGAAUGCGUGGUGUAGCGGUGAAAUGCAUAGAUAUCACGCAGAACCCCGAUUGCGAAGGCAGCAUACCGGUGCACAACUGACGCUCAGGCACGAAAGCGUGGGUAUCGAACAGGAUUAGAUACCCCGGUAGUC
RNAcentral lists this ribosomal RNA (461 nucleotides) under uncultured bacterium. RNAcentral describes it as "partial 16S ribosomal RNA". It matches the Rfam family "Bacterial small subunit ribosomal RNA", at positions 338 to 795 of the family's 1533-position model. The record is from RNAcentral.